UACGGGGGUGGCAAGCGUUGUUCGGAAUUACUGGGCGUAAAGGGCUCGUAGGCGGCCAACUAAGUCAGACGUGAAAUCCCCAGGCUCAACCUGGGAACUGCGUCUGAUACUGGAUGGCUUGAAUCCGGGAGAGGGAUGCAGAAUUCCAGGUGUAGCGGUGAAAUGCGUAGAUAUCGCUUGGAACGCCAACGGUGAAAACAGCUCGCUGGGGGUGUGCUGACGCUGAGACACGAAAGCCAGGGGAGCGAACGGG
RNAcentral lists this ribosomal RNA (253 nucleotides) under uncultured bacterium. RNAcentral's name for it is "partial 16S ribosomal RNA". It matches the Rfam family "Bacterial small subunit ribosomal RNA", at positions 524 to 776 of the family's 1533-position model. The record is from RNAcentral.